This 57-nucleotide transfer RNA is filed under the name Zamenis hohenackeri (Transcaucasian rat snake). Its description in RNAcentral is "tRNA-Ser". The record is from RNAcentral. Lineage: Eukaryota; Metazoa; Chordata; Lepidosauria; Squamata; Colubridae.
CGAGGGCGAUACAAGAUCUGCUAACUCUUUAAUCUGGAAUUAACUACCAGCCCCCUC